This 260-nucleotide long non-coding RNA is filed under the name Chinchilla lanigera (long-tailed chinchilla). Its description in RNAcentral is "lncRNA (ENSCLAG00000025487.1)". The record is from RNAcentral. Lineage: Eukaryota; Metazoa; Chordata; Mammalia; Rodentia; Chinchillidae.
CAGCUCUGAGACCUGGAUACAGUUACUCCUCUUCUCUGGGCCUAUUUGUCCAGUGAACAUCAAAACAGGUGGACAAAUGAGAAAUCAUCAAUUACUAGAAAGUGGACCUAUUCAGCUGAGAAGAGGCAGAAGUUGCACAAGGCCAGAUCCAAUGAAUAACGUGGAUGAGGACAUACCACAAUGUUUUCAUCUUUCAAAUGAAAUUGCCAUAAACGAUUGAACAAGGAAAGGUAAUUACAGAAUAAAGUGAAUAUUUAAAU